AAGAGUAUAGUUUAAUGGUAAAACAAAAAGCUUCAACCUUUUUGAUCUUGGUUCGAAUCUGAGUACUCUUG
This 71-nucleotide transfer RNA is filed under the name Phaeoacremonium minimum UCRPA7. RNAcentral's name for it is "tRNA-Sup (TCA) (tRNA-Sup-TCA-1-1)". It matches the Rfam family "tRNA". Rfam says of the family: Transfer RNA (tRNA) molecules are approximately 80 nucleotides in length. Lineage: Eukaryota; Fungi; Ascomycota; Sordariomycetes; Togniniales; Togniniaceae. The record is from Rfam by way of RNAcentral.